This 2498-nucleotide long non-coding RNA is filed under the name Nicotiana tabacum (common tobacco). RNAcentral describes it as "long non-coding RNA (NTAB_LNC009068)". Lineage: Eukaryota; Viridiplantae; Streptophyta; Magnoliopsida; Solanales; Solanaceae. The record is from RNAcentral.
CCGCCAUCUUUGUUUCUCAUACAAAAUGCAAUAAAUCAAAAACCUUCAGCUCCAUUACUGCUGCUAUGGCCACAAUAGCACAAAGAAACCUCUCAAUUUUCUAUGCUAAAAAAGAAAAAGUAACGAAAACAAGAGCUAGAACCUAACGACUCUUCUUCAGAUUUUGGACCCUCUCUCUUUCUCUCAAAUGAAAAACCAGCAGACACAUACAAAGAAAGAGAUCACAUUUUCCCUUCUUCGAGGACGCCUCCCCUCCUUCUGACUUCACCUUCUUUGUGUUCUCAACUGAAAAGAAACAAACACACAAAAUUUAAAGAGCAUAAGAUUGGGGGUGGGGAAAAACAGAGAGAGCACACAAAAAAUAGAGGCUAAAGCGAGUGAGUAAGAGAGAUCAAAAUCACCACUGUUGGCCACCAUUAUUUGCUGAAACUGUUUGGUUUCAAUUGGAAACCUUCAGAUCUGCUUAAACUGACUAGAGAAAGGAAAGAAAAAAAGAAGACCUCGCCUCUGUGUAAAGAUUGAGUUUGAAAUGUAAGGAAGGACUGUGUUUUGGUGAUAAUUAGGUCGGUAGCUAGCCUUUUAAUUAGUUUUGGGCUACAAAAUAUAUACUGUAAUUUUGUGGCUAGCGGCUGAUAUUAGUUUCUAGCUGCUGGCCAUAAAUGAAGUUUGCUCGUUUAAAAAAGGAACCUUGUAAUAUCGUCAAAACAAAGCACAAGUGGGCCUGGCAGGCCCAAACCAUGCCCUGCAGCUUUGGGACUCAAGUUGAGUCUUAAGCAAUAUCUUAAUUGGACUGUCAAUUGGCCCAGUUAUUUACAAAUCACGGGCAAUCACCAAAAGACUAAUGUCUGAAUUUGAAUGGAAAAUACAACAAAUUGUAAGAAUUAAGCUGGUACUAAUGAAUUGCUACUUCACGGGACCCAGGAGUCGAUUGCACCCUUUUUUAUUUUUGAACUUUAACUACCAAUUACAUCACAUUACCAAAUUGAGAUAAUCAACAUCAACCACAGGAAAAUACAAUUUCCAACAGUAAGAGCAGUAGGAAACAGCCCAGAGAAUGAAGUACAGCCCAGAAAAGAUUUGAAAUCAGCCAAAUGAGAGGUCAGACCCGAACCAGUUCCAAAACAGACCAAAAAUCUCGAAUAUUACUCAGAAUACACUCACACUUCCAGCAGAAAUCCAAGCUCGAUCACAACCUAGUUCAAUUGGACUCAAACCAACCCAAAAUCAAUUUGUAUACCUAUGAGACCUCAAACACCAAAUUUGAAAUAGGAAAACUUGAGAUUAAACUUGAGAUAUCAAUGGAACAGUAACUUGUUUGUGGUUUUUUUUUAUGAGAUUUCCUAUGGUUUUUUUUGGGGAUUUCUAUAGAGAACUAAACAAACUCUAAACUUGAAGUUUGUAAGUUGGAUCAGAUCUUCUAAGGGAAUUUGAUGGCUGAAAAAGAAGACCCCUCCUCAAGGCAUUUUGAUGCCCUUUUAUAGGCAACCAAGAGUGAGCCUCAAAUUUUAGUUUUCCCUUUAGGUUCCUCAUUUAAUUUCAACUCUAGUCCCUUAGUUUUUUAACUUAUUCUGCAAGCUAACACCCAGUUUUACUGACUUUCACUUUGAACCCCUUCUAGAAUAUCCUAGUGAAUUCUAGCUUCCUCUAUUCUAUUCUAAACUAACCUGGAAUUUAAUUUUUUAUUUCUGAAUAUUGCUAACCUAGAUUAACAGAAUUUGCUAAUUAUCACCUCAAAAGUACUAACCAAACAAACUAACCAUCCUUGAAUACUAACUAAUUAAAACCUCAUAAUGAAUUAAAACCAAUAAUGAACCCAGAAUUAUUGACAUUGAAUUAAUCAGGACAAAACUAACAAUGAAAGUCAAAUAGAAAGAUGACUGAUUAUCCAACUUAAACAGACUAACUAAACCUAGACAAAUAAACAACUAAGCACAAAAUCAGAAGAGAAUUAACAACAAUUAACACACACUAAACUGGGAAUUAACACAGCAAAAUAAGAGAAAUACACCAGGAAAGGACUCACUGAUAUUGAAACGACUUUAACAAAAGGAAAUCUGGCUAAAUGAAAAUUUCACUUCGGCCAUCUCCGGUGACAUUCAAACUUUUUGACACUGAAUUCCUCAUGAGGGCAGCCCAAGAACCUUAUUGUACUAAUUUGGCAAGGAUUGGAUUAUUUAGGAUUUUGGCCGGAAAGUUUAAAAAUGUCAUUCGAACGGUUCCAGCCACAUUCGAGACGUGGGGUUAAGGGGAAUAGAUAGAGGAUGGGGAGAGGAAGCUAUGUUGUUAAUCUGGUGUCAAUUGGACGUGGUGACGUCGUGGCUGGAAAAUGUUCCAACGGAUAUUCGACGAGCUCUGGUGAGAUUUGAGGGAAACCAAUGGCAUGGUUAGAAAGAGGGAUUCAUGGGGAAUUUGUGGUGUGAAUUUUGUGGCCGUUGGCGUAGAUGGUGUUCGCCGGCGGCGGCUCCUCCGGUGAAGAUACAAAGAUGGUACGAGGAGGA